GUGAUAUUAGCUAGGUAAUUCUAGACUUGUAUAUGAUUCUAAAGGUGGACACUUCCUGCAGUGCAAAACAGUGCUAGAGUCUGAAAGAGGCCGUUUAUCUAAUUAGAGAUCUAGUGUCAGCAUGCUAUAUGAGGCCAUAUUCAGACUUGGUUUAUGCAACCACCCCUAUAAAGAAGUUGAUGUUAAAGCUUUGCUUUUAAUCAGAGCUGCAAUACAGAUUCAGUCCAGCAGGAAUUGAUAAGUACAGCAGUUCUGGAGUCUACUGGAGUAGCUACCUACUGGAAUCACUUCUGAAUCCUCAGACAUCUCUUCACCCUCCUCUGGCUACACUAUAGGUUAUCUAUGCUUUGGACGCAUAAAGGUAUCUUUCUUAGGAUGUUAGCAUGGAAUAAAUAUGAACGUCAUUCCAUAUGCUAAAUGCUCGUCACUGUGGAGCUCCUGGAAGCAUUUGCAAUGGAAAUGGAGACAGCUUGACAUGAUCAUAAACCACACUACUGGAAGAAAGUAUGGGGAGAGCACAAGCAGAGAUAACAGAGGUGCCACACAUCCAGGCCUCUGCUUGCCACUUUCCCCCUUGACUGGGGAACUGGAAGAACAUCCACCUAAUAAUAGGGGUGUGGACUGA
This 625-nucleotide long non-coding RNA is filed under the name Numida meleagris (helmeted guineafowl). Its description in RNAcentral is "lncRNA (ENSNMEG00000005653.1)". Lineage: Eukaryota; Metazoa; Chordata; Aves; Galliformes; Numididae. The record is from RNAcentral.